UGUCCAAUUUGAUCAUUGCCUCCUCCGCGACUUUCUGCUCGGGCCGUGGAGAGAAGUUGGGAGUCUUUUUUGUGUUGUUGUGGGGGAUAGCUACCGAAUCAACCUUUUGUGUACACCUUUUCCCUCGGUCUUCGGCUGACUGGUCGUGGAGUGGAGUUUAGCCAUAGCCUGCUGGAUUGAAGUGAAGUUGUGCAAAAUUUUGUGCUCGUUCAGUUCAACUUGCAACUUUGUGUGCGAUUGUCGUUGCCGUAGUCUUCGUCGGUCGUUGUCUUGUAGUCUCGCGAUCGCUUUCUCGGAGUUACUCGGAUUACGGACAGAGCGGAGUUUUUUUUUUUUCGGGGACAUUGUCUUGUCGAAGAUUUUCAGAUUGUGAGAAAAGGUUCCAGUUUUUUUUCGAAUACUCCAUCCAAAAGUUCAGCCAGUGAUCCGAUCCGGAGUGUUGGGCUGGUGGUGUACGGACAGAAAACCGUGUGGAAUCGCGGCUCAAGAGGGUCCGACGUGAAGAAACAGUGAAACGGCAAACAACUAGUCUUUUUCUUAUUUUUUUUCCUUUCUUUUGUGUGUGAGAAUUGAAAGUGGAUCAAAAGUAGCUCCCCAGAGCCAGCAAUCAAAAGCUCUAGUGUGGCCAUUAUAGUGCAGUGCGGUAGCCAGCAGCUGUUAAAAGCUGGUGAAAGAAGGUGGUGGUGUGCGUCAAAAGCGAAGCGAAUAUCGACUGCCCCCCGGAGAGAAAUUGGUGUGAGCGAGAGAGGGGCCUCUGUGAUCCCCCGCCAGGUCGGUAUUGAGGAUCGGCAACGUGCAAUUUUUAGUGGAAUUAAUGGUUGCCGGGAAAUCGAUGAUCCAAACCGCCCCGGUCCGAAACUGACGGAUAGCUUAGCUGGCCUAGCAUAGAUAGAUAGAGAGAGGAAAACAAGCACCACACGCAUCAAAAGAAGUUCAGCCAGUGAUCCGAUCCGGAGUGUUGGGCUGGUGGUGUACGGACAGAAAACCGUGUGGAAUCGCGGCUCAAGAGGGUCCGACGUGAAGAAACAGUGAAACGGCAAACAACUAGUCUUUUUCUUAUUUUUUUUCCUUUCUUUUGUGUGUGAGAAUUGAAAGUGGAUCAAAAGUAGCUCCCCAGAGCCAGCAAUCAAAAGCUCUAGUGUGGCCAUUAUAGUGCAGUGCGGUAGCCAGCAGCUGUUAAAAGCUGGUGAAAGAAGGUGGUGGUGUGCGUCAAAAGCGAAGCGAAUAUCGACUGCCCCCCGGAGAGAAAUUGGUGUGAGCGAGAGAGGGGCCUCUGUGAUCCCCCGCCAGGUCGGUAUUGAGGAUCGGCAACGUGCAAUUUUUAGUGGAAUUAAUGGUUGCCGGGAAAUCGAUGAUCCAAACCGCCCCGGUCCGAAACUGACGGAUAGCUUAGCUGGCCUAGCAUAGAUAGAUAGAGAGAGGAAAACAAGCACCACACGCAUCAAAAG
This is a long non-coding RNA of Aedes aegypti (yellow fever mosquito), 1448 nucleotides long. RefSeq lists it as uncharacterized. The record is from RefSeq and is a predicted model, not a curated record. The transcript has 3 exons. NCBI's taxonomy places the organism in Eukaryota, Metazoa, Arthropoda, Insecta, Diptera, Culicidae.